GCCCCGCAAAGUAAAAACUAAAAGGAAUUAACGGGGGCCCGAACAAGCGGCGGAGCACGUGGUAAAAUUAGAUGCAACGGGAGAACCUUACCAGCCCUGAACAUCCCGGGAACUUGGUAGAGAUACCUUGUUGCCUUAGGGAACCCUGACAAAAGGUGAUGCACGGCUGUCGUCAGCUCGUCUCGUGAGAUGUUGGGUUAAGUCCAGUAACGAGCGCAACCCUUACCCUUAGUUGCCAGCACAUAAUGGUGGGAACUCUAAGGGGACUGCCGGUGACAAACCGGAGGAAGGUGGGGAAGACGUCAAGUCAUCAUGGCCCUUAUGGGCUGGGCUACACACGUGCUACAAUGGCCGGUACAGAGGGAUGCCAACCCGCAAGGGGGAGCUAAUCUCAGAAAACCGGUCGUAGUCCGGAUCGCAGUCUGCAACUCGACUGCGUGAAGUCGGAAUCGCUAGUAAUCGCGAAUCAGAAUGUCGAGGUGAAAACGUUCCCGGGCCUUGCACGCGCUGCCC
This 513-nucleotide ribosomal RNA is filed under the name uncultured Gammaproteobacteria bacterium. RNAcentral's name for it is "bacterial SSU rRNA". It matches the Rfam family "Bacterial small subunit ribosomal RNA", at positions 883 to 1395 of the family's 1533-position model. Lineage: Bacteria; Pseudomonadati; Pseudomonadota; Gammaproteobacteria. The record is from RNAcentral.